RNAcentral lists this ribosomal RNA (119 nucleotides) under Triticum aestivum (bread wheat). Lineage: Eukaryota; Viridiplantae; Streptophyta; Magnoliopsida; Poales; Poaceae. The record is from RNAcentral. RNAcentral also lists the same sequence under 1 other name.
GGAUGCGAUCAUACCAGCACUAAAGCACCGGAUCCCAUCAGAACUCCGAAGUUAAGCGUGCUUGCGCGAGAGUAGUACUAGGAUGGGUUCCCUCCUGGGAAGUCCUCGUGUUGCAUUAC